Long non-coding RNA from Rosa rugosa (rugosa rose), 3563 nucleotides. RefSeq lists it as uncharacterized. The transcript is spliced from 12 exons. The record is from RefSeq and is a predicted model, not a curated record. Lineage: Eukaryota; Viridiplantae; Streptophyta; Magnoliopsida; Rosales; Rosaceae.
AGGGGAAGAUCUCGCCGAUAACCGUCGGGUUUGAAACUCAGCCACUUAGAUCAAGAUCAAAAAAAGCAAAAGAAGAGAAAAGACGGAAAAGAAGAAUAGAAAAGAGGAGAAGAUCUCGCCGAGAAUAGACCGGCCGGAAGGUCGCUGGGGUGGGAAAGAGAAAGAGGAGAGAUCCAAGAUUGUGGUGGACUUCCGGGGGAAGGUUUGAGUUUGUUUCUGGAGAGGUGGAUGCUAAAAUUUUGAUCGAGUUUGGGGGAGAGCUUUCAGCAGGAGAAGAGUGUAGAGAUGAAGAAGGGAUAUUCUUGGUAUAUUCAGUCAGUAGCUUUGAAAGCACCUGUGUAUUCAAUUGGACCAAUUUAGGAGUGGAGUGCCUUUUGUGUAAUAAAAAGUUUCUGGUCAAGUAUGAAGGAAUUCCUGGGAAUGGAGUAGCUUGAACACCGCUUAUUAUGGUGGAGUAUCAUUAAAAUGAGAUGUAUUGUUUGACAUAUAUUAUCUAGAACCCCCACUUAUUGUCAAAACAAAAAGAAAGUGAAAUGGUUAAUUGCUUUUGGGGGGUAACAAUGAAUACAGAAGUCAUUGCCUACAAUAGCUCUUUAUGUGAGUGGACAUAAUGGGGAGUGCAAUUUCUUUCUGCUGUUUCGGAUUAUAUAGUGCAAAUUGUUUCUGUUUCAUAUUUGUUAGUUGAUUACAUGGAAUAAAAACCUGUAGGCUGUAUACUGCUGGUAUUAAAAGGAAAGUCUCUGAUCCUAUGUACUGUAAAUAUUGACAUUUAGAAGAUUAACAUUUCUCUGGAAUUUUUUAUAUGUUUUUGCUUAUUUAUUUGAAUACGGUAUCAGUUUGCCACAAAGAACUAUUUGGUAGGUGGGAAUUUGAAACACCAGUUCAUCCAUAUUCUGCUUAGUGCUGCUUUCCUUAUUCUACACUCUACAUUCUAGAGUUGUAUACAGAAUUACAGUUGAAUUAAAAAUGGGUUCAUAAACACACUCAGUUGAACAAGUCAAAGAUAAUAAUCUAUGGCAUUCUGUACAUACUAGAACUCUCUAUUUUUACUUAAAUACUGAGACCAAGAGAAGGAAAUACAUUCAUGACCCUUAUAUAUACCAUAGACUUCCAUGUCAUCAAAAGAAAAGAAAAAGAAAAAAAAACACUUCCAUGUGCUAAACUAAUUAAUAACAUCAGCUUGGAUAAUGAGGUUAAUAUAAAAGUUUCCCUUGGAUUUUUAAACUAUUGUUAGUCAUUUCAUGAUAUUAAUUAUAUCUAUUUUGCUUUCCGAGCUUAAUAAUGCUCCUGUUGUGCUGAGAGGAUUUGAAUUUAGCAAACUUCAGGAAAACUAUCAGCAAGUUUGUUGAUUGAUUGAACCAAAGUAUAGAAAUAGGCAAUUCAUUAGUCCUUGAAAUGAAGGUGCGGACUGUUGAUAGAAGUUGAGUCUCACUUUUGGCAUUUCUCUAUCAGAUGACAUCUAUCAAUGGAAACCGGGAACUAGGAGUAUAACACUCGCUGUAUUUUCUCAAUUGCUGCGAUUCUCUAAGAUUCUCAACUUUCCGGUCUCAAUUUAUCAAACAAUGAGGAUUGGUUUGUGCUUCAGUCUAAGGCAAUGAGAAUGAGCAAAGGGUGACAAGUUGUUGGCGUCGCAAAAUGCAGAGCUAUCGGCUUUUUUGUAUCUUAAAUUGAUUGAGAAAUAUUCAUUCUGUUAAAUUGUUUGUUCUCUUUAAUAAGCGCUAUAUGGGGCGCAUAUCUGUGUUUCCCAUGAAUUCAUUUCUCUACAUCUUUUUACAAUGGUCUCUUCAAAAGAAAAGAUAUGGUUUUAGGAUGAAGGCAAAUUUAAAAUCUGUUGAAAGGAAGGUAGAAAUAACUGAUAAUGAGUAUGCAUAAACUAGGGGUCCCAUCUCACGAGUGCACUUAGUGAUAACUUAAUACUACAUUGUGUGGCUGUCUUGCUCAGGUUGUCCAGCAGUUCCAAGAAUUGUUUUGGAACUUUGUUCUUCAUUUAUAUGAUGUGCAAUCUUUGUAGCAAGAACUAAUUUGCUCAUCUAAUUUUCUUGCACGGUGUUCCUGUGCAAGCUCGGCAAACACCACCAUUGUUGCAGUACUUUGUUACUAUAGGGAAACUCAACACUUUUGAAUCAUUGGAAUUGUCACGUUUGGUUGUAAAUCAAAACAAGAAGCAUCUUUUGGAGAAUUGGCUAUUUGAGGACAAGCUUGAAUGUAGCGAAGAGCUAACUUUUUCGAUAAUUUCAGGACGACAAAGUUACUAGAUGAAGAAAUUGAAGAGGACGAGAUGUUCUGGAAUCAGGAGGCUCUUAAAGAGGAGGAAGAAGAUGAUAACUAUGAAGUGGAGCUGAAAGUUGUUGAUUUGUUUGAUAAUGACUUGGUUAAAGAUUUCCUAAGCUGGAUUGAGCGAUGCUGUGAUUUGGUGUUGAAGCAUCUUUCAGUCAUCCAGAAACAAAGAUGCUGAUGAAAAAAGUUGAUGCAUUGAUGAAAGCCAUGGAGCAGAGUCUAUGAAAAUAAAGAGAGAAACCGUAGCUAAAGAUAAAGAAGCUGCAGCAGCCAAGGUGGAUGCUGACAAAAAGAACAGAAUUAUAAACUCAUCUAAGAGGUUCUAAUUACUUUUCAACAGCCUCAAUACCAUUCUUUCCUUUUGUAUGAUGCUUCUGUAGCAGCAUCCCUUUCAAAUAUUAAAAUUUUUCAGAUCUGAUCACCUGAAUAUAUGAUUGAUUUUAUGGUUUACUUCUAAUUGCUGGGGGUAACAAAAGCAUCUUCAAUGUUUGGUUACACGAGAUUUAUUGAAGAUAAUGUGGAGAUUUAGUCUUUAUGAGCAAUGUGUCCUAUUAUGAUCAUACGACAAUAAUUCCCGCAGCAAAGUUUCAGCUUAAUGACAAAUUUAAACCCAGUUCGUUUUUCUGUCCAAGUUUAUGUACAAAAUUUGGGUUCCUGUUUCUUUAAAGUUUUAUUUUGGGUUCUGAUUCUGCGUCAUUUUGAUGCGUCAAAUCUGAUAUAACUCCCCUAGGUCCACUCCUUGAUAAGACUGAACGUUAUUUCACCAAGGUAAACUCAACCUCCUGUGCAAAAAAUUUAAGUUCAUGUAUUUUGAUUAUCGAUCUCUGCAUUCUUCCGUGACUACAAAGGAACUCCAUAAGAAAGCUGACUGGUAAGAUGUCUUCUAAUAUUUAUUUAUUAUCUGCUUUGCCUACAUUUUAGAUAAUAAGCUUCUGAUAGAACACUUGGAAAUGAAGCGUACUGUUGAAAGGCCAACUGUCGACAACCUUAUCUGGUUUGCUCACAUUUUAGAAAGAUAUGAGAAGUUGAAGUUGGAGAUUGUGAAUAGAAAGAGCGAGAAUGAAAAUUUAAGGCAGAAUUCAUCGACCAAAUUAAGAGACCAGCUAUUGACCAGCAUUGCUCUUCAGCAAGCAACACCAACACCGACUGAACAUUGUAUUCAAUUUAUAGCUUCAUUAAAGUACAUACAUCAAGUUUGAUCUGAAAUUCUCAGUUUUGUAUCAAUCACAUUAUCAUCUAUUAAACCAGUUCCCGCGCAAGCCGCGGGCAACUAUUGCUCGUAAGUA